UACGUAGGGAGCAAGCGUUGUCCGGAAUGACUGGGCGUAAAGGGUGUGUAGGUGGUUUGGCAAGUUAGAAGUGUAAUACCUGGGCUUAACUUAGGUGCUGCUUUUAAAACUGCUAGACUUGAGUGCAGCAGAGGUUAAUGGAAUUCCUAGUGUAGCGGUGGAAUGCGUAGAUAUUAGGAGGAACACCAGAGGCGAAGGCGGUUAACUGGGCUGUAACUGACACUGAGACACGAAAGUGUGGGGAGCAAACAGG
Molecule: ribosomal RNA, 253 nt
Filed under: uncultured bacterium
Lineage: Bacteria
Description: partial 16S ribosomal RNA
Rfam family: Bacterial small subunit ribosomal RNA
Source: RNAcentral